GUGACCUGGCGGUGUUGAACAGGAGACAGGAAGUUGUGAGAUUCUUCUCCUGUCCACGCAACUCUGACUCCCUAAACACUUUGCAGUCCUCCCUACGCAACAUCAGGAACAUCCCGACUCUCCUGCGUUCGAUGUCUCUGUCUCACACCAAAGUCUCUGACUGGCAGGGUCUCUACAAGACAGUGUAUAGUGCGGUGUGUAUCAGGGACACAGUGCGCUCCCUGCCUCAGUCCAUCCAACUCUUCCAGGAGAUCAGUGAGGGAUUCUCAGACGACCUUUACUACAUCGCCUCGCUCAUCAGCAGAGUGGUGGGACACA
Long non-coding RNA from Salvelinus sp. IW2-2015, 318 nucleotides. RefSeq lists it as uncharacterized. The record is from RefSeq and is a predicted model, not a curated record. NCBI's taxonomy places the organism in Eukaryota, Metazoa, Chordata, Actinopteri, Salmoniformes, Salmonidae.